GCCAAUAAUCAAGAAUCUAAGUACAUUUUUAGAUUCAGCAAAUCAAAGAACCUAACUGAUUCAUUUUUUGUCAAAAUCAAACUAAGUUUAAUUUUGGACCCUUUGGACCUUAAUGUAGACCAAUUUGAAAACGGGACCAAAAGUUAAGAAUCUACAUACACAGUCAUGACAGUUAGAUUGGGCAUAUCAAAGAACCCCAAUUAUUCAAUUUUGAUGAAAUCAAACAAAGUUUAAUUUUGGACCCUUUGGGCCCCUUAUUCUGUUGGGACCAAAACUCCCAAAAUCAAUACCAACCUUCCUUUUAUGGUCAUAAACCUUGUGUUUAAAUCUCAUAGAUUUCUAUUUACUUAUACUAACGUUAUGGUGCGAAAACCAAGAAAAAUGCUUAUUUGGGUCCCUUUUUGGCCCCUAAUUCCUAAACUGUUGGGACCUUAACUCCCAAAAUCAAUACCAACCUUCCUUUUGUAGUCAUUAACAUUGUGUUUCAAAUUUCAUUGAUUUCUAUUUACUUAAACUAAAGUUAUUGUGCGAAAACCAAGAAUAAUGCUUAUUUGGGCCCUUUUUUGGCCCCUAAUUCCUAAACUGUUGAAACCUAAACUCCCAAAAUCAAUCCCAACCGUUCCUUUGUGGUCAUAAACCUUGUGUCAAAAUUUCAUAGAUUUCUAUUAACUUAAACUAAAGUUAUAGUGCGAAAACCAAGAAAAUGCUUAUUUGGGCCCUUUUUGGCCCCUAAUUCCUAAAAUGUUGGGACCAAAACUCCCAAAGUCAAUACCAACCUUCCUUUUGUGGUCAUAAACCUUGUGUUAAAAUUUCAUAGAUUUCCAUUCACUUUUACUAAAGUUAGAGUGCGAAAACUAAAAGUAUUCGGACGCCGGACGACGACGACGCCGACGCCAACGUGAUAGCAAUAUACGACGAAAAUUUUUUCAAAUUUUGCGGUCGUAUAAAAAUCAUGAG
Molecule: long non-coding RNA, 957 nt
Filed under: Mytilus galloprovincialis (Mediterranean mussel)
Lineage: Eukaryota; Metazoa; Mollusca; Bivalvia; Mytilida; Mytilidae
Source: RNAcentral